This 274-nucleotide ribosomal RNA is filed under the name uncultured bacterium. RNAcentral's name for it is "partial 16S ribosomal RNA". It matches the Rfam family "Bacterial small subunit ribosomal RNA", at positions 523 to 796 of the family's 1533-position model. The record is from RNAcentral.
AUACGGAGGGUGCGAGCGUUGUUCGGAAUUACUGGGCGUAAAGGGCGCGCAGGCGGCUUGAUAAGUCAGAUGUGAAAGCCCACGGCUCAACCGUGGAAGUGCAUCUGAAACUGUCUGGCUUGAGUACUGGAGAGGAAAGUGGAAUUCCUGGUGUAGAGGUGAAAUUCGUAGAUAUCAGGAGGGACACCGGUGGCGAAGGCGACUUUCUGGACAGAUACUGACGCUGAGGCGCGAAAGCGUGGGGAGCAAACAGGAUUAGAAACCCGAGUAGUCC